RNAcentral lists this ribosomal RNA (146 nucleotides) under Strigamia maritima. RNAcentral describes it as "5.8S ribosomal RNA". It matches the Rfam family "5.8S ribosomal RNA". From Rfam's summary of the family: 5.8S ribosomal RNA (5.8S rRNA) is a component of the large subunit of the eukaryotic ribosome. It is transcribed by RNA polymerase I as part of the 45S precursor that also contains 18S and 28S rRNA. Lineage: Eukaryota; Metazoa; Arthropoda; Chilopoda; Geophilomorpha; Linotaeniidae. The record is from Rfam by way of RNAcentral.
CGCAAUUACUGUAGAACAUCACGGCUCGUGGGUCGAUGAAGAGCCCAACCAACUGCGUGAAUUAAUGUGAAUUGCAGGACACAUUGAACAUCAACAUUUCGAACGCACAUUGCGGCAAUGAUGGGUGUCCAUGAUCUAGAGAGUAU